Molecule: long non-coding RNA, 838 nt
Organism: Pseudophryne corroboree (corroboree frog)
Lineage: Eukaryota; Metazoa; Chordata; Amphibia; Anura; Myobatrachidae
Exons: 4
Source: RefSeq, a predicted model, not a curated record
UGUUACUGGUGGAACUACAGGUCCUAGCAAGUCUCCCCGCAUGCUGGUAUUCGGAGAACCACAAGGUUAAUUCAGUGCAUUGGCUGUUAAUAAAAGCCCGUUCGACAGAUGUUUCCAUUUCAGGUGUUAUUCCAACUGUCAACAGAUUCUGUUCCUUUCUCCGGAUAUACUUGUUAUCAGCUUUCUUUGGUUUUCACCAUGUCUCGGAUAUGCAACGGCAACAAUUCUAGCACUUCUAAUCGCACAUGACCUUACAGAAUUUAUUUAAUUCAGCUUGAUACCACUGACUAUCAAAUACAGCAUGAAAUAACUUUACCAAUGGAAAAUAUCAUACCGCCAUAUAUACAUGAACGACAUUAAACAAAGAAUAAACUUUAUUAAACUGGAUCUUCCACUUCAGCCGAUGUUUGUACCUAAACAAAGGGUCUGACACACAAUGUGCUGCAAAAGUAGGAGCCCACCCGAAGACCGCAGCUAACAUCAUGACACAGCCGAACCUUGUGAUCACACAUUCACAAUAAUGUAUUUACCACCCUACACUGCCUUCUAUGUCUGACUCCUCCUUUUCUUUUUUAGAUAGAGUUCCAUAAAAAUGCUAUCAGCUAAAGAUAUGCUAAAGAAAGAUACAAUAAAACCACAGUAAAAGAAGGAUAUGGCUAAUAUGAUAUAUGGAGUUUUAUUACAAUGUUUAUUUUUUUAAUCGGAAAUGUUAAUAUUAUCAUGUCUGCUUUGAUGUAUUAGAUUUUGAAGUAACAAGGCAAAAUAAAAUGUCUUUACCAUGGCAACCGCCGUGGUUGUUCAUGUCUCUCCACUUAAUUGCUCUGAGGUCACCUUCCCA